CCUGGGGCUGAGCGCGAACCUGCGUCUGUCAGCGGUAACUCCAGUGGUUGCGUUAAGGAUUUGGCAGGUACCUGUAGCAGCCAUGGCGUCGGCGAAGCCCUUUCUGGGGCAAGACACGGCAUUAUGCUCCUAAGCCAGAUCUCGUGCGAGGAGCGCCGGGCACGGGCUCCUCAGCCCAUUUCUCUCAGGACAGCCUUCUCUGCACUUCUUAUCUUUGGAGUCCUCCCUGAGUAAGCAGCAUCCCUGGUGAAUUCACCUUGCCAAGUCAGAGCUGGAACAAGUCUUCCUAGGAGUUUUCAUGGUUAACUCUUUUUAGCAGUGUUACUACCCUCUCCCCAGAAGAAACCUUAUGUAGAGCCCCAUGAUAUAAAGCUGAUUUUUCCACCUGAAA
Molecule: long non-coding RNA, 391 nt
Organism: Hyaena hyaena (striped hyena)
Lineage: Eukaryota; Metazoa; Chordata; Mammalia; Carnivora; Hyaenidae
Exons: 2
Source: RefSeq, a predicted model, not a curated record